RNAcentral lists this ribosomal RNA (474 nucleotides) under uncultured bacterium. Its description in RNAcentral is "bacterial SSU rRNA". It matches the Rfam family "Bacterial small subunit ribosomal RNA", at positions 8 to 526 of the family's 1533-position model. The record is from RNAcentral.
AGAGUUUGAUCAUGGCUCAGAGCGAACGCUGGCGGCAUGCCUAACACAUGCAAGUCGAGCGCCUUGGGCAACCAGGGAGCGGCGGACGGGUGAGUAACGCGUAGGAACGUAUCCUGAGGUGGGGGAUAACCCUGGGAAACUAGGGCUAAUACCGCAUGAUGUCUUCGGACCAAAGAUUUAUCGCCUUGGGAGCGGCCUGCGUCCGAUUAGCUGGUUGGUGUGGUAACGGCGCACCAAGGCUCUGAUCGGUAGCUGGUCUGAGAGGAUGAUCAGCCACACUGGGACUGAGACACGGCCCAGACUCCUACGGGAGGCAGCAGUGGGGAAUAUUGGACAAUGGGCGCAAGCCUGAUCCAGCAAUGCCGCGUGGAUGAAGAAGGUCUUCGGAUUGUAAAGUCCUUUCGGCGGGGACGAUGAUGACGGUACCCGCAGAAGAAGCCCCGGCUAACUUCGUGCCAGCCGCCGCGGUAAUUC